This 366-nucleotide ribosomal RNA is filed under the name Proteus mirabilis. Its description in RNAcentral is "partial 23S ribosomal RNA". It matches the Rfam family "Bacterial large subunit ribosomal RNA", at positions 1084 to 1348 of the family's 2925-position model. The record is from RNAcentral. Lineage: Bacteria; Pseudomonadati; Pseudomonadota; Gammaproteobacteria; Enterobacterales; Morganellaceae.
CUCAGACAGCCAGGAUGUUGGCUUAGAAGCAGCCAUCAUUUAAAGAAAGCGUAAUAGCUCACUGGUCGAGUCGGCCCGCGCGGAAGAUGUAACGGGGCUAAACCAUGCACCGAAGCUGCGGCAGCGAACGUAUCACUUAAAUUUGUUUGAGUGAAUAACGAUUGACGGAACGAAGUGACGUCAAUGCGUUAAUGAAAGUCGAGGUGAAAGCACGACAAAGCGAAUUUAAGGAUACGUUCGUUGGGUAGGGGAGCGUUCUGUAAGCCUGCGAAGGUGUACUGUGAGGUAUGCUGGAGGUAUCAGAAGUGCGAAUGCUGACAUAAGUAACGAUAAUGCGGGUGAAAAACCCGCACGCCGGAAGACCAA